This 348-nucleotide unclassified non-coding RNA is filed under the name soil metagenome. RNAcentral describes it as "partial contains 5.8S ribosomal RNA, internal transcribed spacer 2, and large subunit ribosomal RNA". The stretch from base 1 to 120 matches the Rfam family "5.8S ribosomal RNA", at positions 35 to 154 of the family's 154-position model. The record is from RNAcentral.
GAUGAAGAACGCAGCGAAAUGCGAUAAGUAAUGUGAAUUGCAGAAUUCAGUGAAUCAUCGAAUCUUUGAACGCACAUUGCGCCCAUCAGUAUUCUGUUGGGCAUGCCUGUCCGAGCGUCAUUUCAACCCUCAGGGCCCGUUCGCGGGAACUGGUGUUGGGGAUCGGCCUCCCCCCGGAGGCCGGCCCCGAAAUGCAGUGGCGGCUCUACCGCGAUCUCCUCUGUGUAGUAGCGAUACCUCGCAGCUGGAUAGUGGUGGUGCCACGCCGUAAAAUCCCAACUUUACCAAGGUUGACCUCGGAUCAGGUAGGAAUACCCGCUGAACUUAAGCAUAUCAAUAAGCGGAGGA